GGAGGUAGUGACAAUAAAUCACAAUGCGGGACUAUUUAGUUUUGCAAUUGAAUUGAGAACAAUGUACAAGAGUUAUCGAUAAACAAUUGGAGGGCAAGUCUGGUGCCAGCAGCCGCGGUAAUUCCAGCUCCAAUAGCGUAUAUUAACGUUGUUGCAGUUAAAAAGCUCGUAGUUGAAGUGUGGGAUAAUGUAUAUUGGAUCUUUUUGUGAAGGUAUAUGUUGUCCCCCCUCCAAUUUCGGUCUGUGGGUAUUCAUUUACUUGCAGUUCGUGUUGGUCAUUUACUGUGAGAAAAUUAGAGUGUUCAAAGCAGGCAUUUGCUUGAAUAUAUUAGCAUGGAAUAAUAUUAAAAGGCUUGUAUGGUCGAUUUAAUUGGUUUGUUCAUAUAAGCAAGAUUAAUAGGGACAGUUGGGGGUAUUCAUAUUCAAUAGUUAGAGGUGAAAUUCUCGGAUUUAUGGAAGAUGAACAAGUGCG
RNAcentral lists this ribosomal RNA (472 nucleotides) under Blastocystis sp. subtype 26. RNAcentral describes it as "SSU rRNA". It matches the Rfam family "Eukaryotic small subunit ribosomal RNA", at positions 460 to 947 of the family's 1831-position model. The record is from RNAcentral. Lineage: Eukaryota; Bigyra; Opalinata; Blastocystidae.